Molecule: ribosomal RNA, 505 nt
Filed under: uncultured bacterium
Lineage: Bacteria
Description: partial 16S ribosomal RNA
Rfam family: Bacterial small subunit ribosomal RNA
Source: RNAcentral
GACGAACGCUGGCGGCGUGCCUAAUGCAUGCAAGUAGAACGCACAGUUUAUACCGUAGCUUGCUACACCAUAGACUGUGAGUUGCGAACGGGUGAGUAACGCGUAGGUAACCUGCCUGGUAGCGGGGGAUAACUAUUGGAAACGAUAGCUAAUACCGCAUAAUAUUCAUUAUUGCAUGAUAAUUAAUUGAAAGGUGCAAUUGCACCACUACCAGAUGGACCUGGGUUGUAUUAGCUAGUAGGUGAGGUAACGGCUCACCUAGGCGAAGAUACAUAGCCGACCUGGGAGGGGGAACGGCCACACUGGGCCUGGGACACGGCCCAGACUCCAACGGGAGGCAGCAGUAGGGAAUAUUCGGCAAUGGACGAAAGUCUGACCGAGCAACGCCGCGUGAGUGAAGAAGGUUUUCGGAUCGUAAAGCUCUGUUGUAAGAGAAGAACGGGUGUGAGAGUGGAAAGUUCACACUGUGACGGUAUCUUACCAGAAAGGGACGGCUAACUACGUG